CCUACGGGAGGCAGCAGUGGGGAAUAUUGGACAAUGGGCGCAAGCCUGGUCCAGCAAUGCCGCGUGAGUGAUGAAGGCCUUAGGGUCGUAAAGCUCUUUUACCAGGGAUGAUAAUGACAGUACCUGGAGAAUAAGCUCCGGCUAACUCCGUGCCAGCAGCCGCGGUAAUACGGAGGGAGCUAGCGUUGUUCGGAAUUACUGGGCGUAAAGCGUACGUAGGCGGUUAUUCAAGUCAGAGGUGAAAGCCCGGGGCUCAACCCCGGAACGGCCUUUGAAACUAGGUAGCUAGAAUCUUGGAGAGGUCAGUGGAAUUCCGAGUGUAGAGGUGAAAUUCGUAGAUAUUCGGAAGAACACCAGUGGCGAAGGCGACUGACUGGACAAGUAUUGACGCUGAGGUACGAAAGCGUGGGGAGCAAACAGGAUUAGAUACCCUGGUAGUCCACGCCGUAAACGAUGAUAACUAGCUGUCCGGGCACUUGGUGCCUGGGUGGCGCAGCUACGACAUUAAGUUAUCCGUCCGUCGGGUAGGUACGGUCGCGAAGAAUUAAAACUUAAAAGUAAAGUUAGUACGGACGUGAGACGUAGCCGAACGGACGACGACGAGGGAGGUAGG
This 613-nucleotide ribosomal RNA is filed under the name uncultured bacterium. RNAcentral describes it as "bacterial SSU rRNA". The stretch from base 1 to 518 matches the Rfam family "Bacterial small subunit ribosomal RNA", at positions 338 to 873 of the family's 1533-position model. The record is from RNAcentral.